UUUGUUUGUACCAUAUGUAUUUCCAAAAGUGUCUCUUGGGAUUCAGAGCUUCCAAGGUUUCUAAGUUGUGUUCUGUUCUUUUUCAGUGUACCAUUGGGUUUCAGGGAAUUUUUAGGUCACUAAUGAGGCUCAGUCUCUCUUCUACUGAUUUCAUGGAUUGUGGGGUCUUGCCAAGGGUCUCAAUAAGUUUCAGGGUCUUCUCUAAUCUCACAACACAUGAUACGAGUGUUUCCCAUGAGUUUAGUGUUAUCCUUUCUUUCCCUGGGCAUUCAUUGGAAUUCUUAGACAUUCCUAGCAUCUCAGUGUGGUUCAGGAUAUUCCCCAGGUUUUCAAGAAGCUAUUGGUUUUGCCCAGGACCUCAGUGGUACUCAUGGCCUGUGGGAAGUCACUCUGAAUGGACACCUUCCAGUCCUGAGGCAGGGGGCUUUGACCAGUUACUACAUUUCUUAGUGACUUGGGUGUUGUCCCUCCUCAGAUAGCAAGGCUUGGUUCCAGGUGUAGGCAUGCCCACUGGGGUUGAGGUACACUCAGCUUUUCCCUUGUAGUCCUACCCCAUCUGCCCUUUUUUUGAUUAGAACUUUCUAAGAAUAGCAUCCCCCCAAAUAAAAGGCCACUUCCAAACCUGCUUCCCUCUCUCUUGACAGCCUCCUGUGAUUUUUCUCUUGUUCUUCUUUCUGGGGAGCUUGAGUUCAAGAACUGGGGAAAGCCAUCCUGAAACUUGUAAAAGCUGGCACCCAAUGUGGUACCUGGACAUCGAAAACAGGGACACUUCUGGAUGUGUUAAUCAGGGAAGGGAGUAGCUUUUCACCUGGAGCAGGCUGAAAUGUGUCUUUCAUCAGCUGCUACUGAUCCCCAUUGGAUGAAACAUCACAGAUGAAAUUCUACAAACAUUAGGGGAAGUGUUAUUACAAUCAGGACUCUAUGUUGUAACAGAAAAAAAUUCAACCUUACCUCUCUAUCAGUUGUUAAAGAAAUAACACUAUACUGCCUUUUUCAAGCUCUACAAAAAAUUAACAGAAAUUUGGUGCGAGUAAUGGUGAGUCAACCUCCUUUAUCUAAUGUGCCAUUAUCAUUGGUAAUUUUUGUAGGAAAACUUUAUGCCUUUAUAGCAGUAAUUGCUAUUUAUAAUCAAAGAUUGUAUAUAUCAAUAUGGUUACACUUUCCUCAUUUUUUGGCUAGAAUGUUCUGCUUUUGUUGAUAAAUAUGCAUAAUUAACUGCUGAUGGUUGCACUAAAAUUUUAUCUUUCACAGGCAUAGACAUUCAUGUUUUAUAUCUCACUUAUGGAAAAAUUCUACUUCUCCAGUGCUUAAGAUUUUUUCCUACUAUCAAGUUGUAUUUUUUUAGCACCUAUUUCUUUUCACAUAUCUCAUGAUGGGUGAGUCUCUUUCCUAUGUCAGGUUACACACUCCCCCUCUUUCUUGAUCUCUACCCUUCUUCUUGUAGCUGGGUUGAUGUUGUAUACAGAUGGAGGUAAACAAAGUGGAUAGUAUCUGUUUUUAUUAAUGAUAAAUUCCUGGACCUCGGAUGGAAGGUAACACACAGAUGCAGCUGUGAGAUCCCUUUAUACUUUAUUUUCAGAUGCUGUAGAAUCUCAGGAAUGUUUUCAUCAAAAUUCUUGCUCACUAAUGAAGGUGUUUUCCAUUUUUUUCCCAACAGACUGUGCCACUGUCAGUAACUGUUCUCACUGUAUGCCCUUCUGGGACCCCAUAUGGGAAUCUGUAAAUUCAUGAGGGCCUACAGUCUAAUGCACUUUAGGAAAUGAACAUUAUCCAUUUCUUUUCCUUUCAUCCUUUUCCCUUUCUCCAUGUUUCCAUUAAGACUCAUUCUGGGCUCAUUAGGGCUAGUGCCCAUAGAUCUAAAAAGGUACCUGCUUGCAUUUCUUAUUUAUUACUCUGCUUUGCCACUAUGGACAAACCAACUCAUUUAAAAAAUGUAUUCAUUUUUAAAACAUUUGCCCCUUCACAUAUGUCCUAUGCUUUUGCAUAAUUUUGUACUCAUUGGCGACUGUCACAGCUUACAAAGAAAGAAAGAAAUUGGCCUGUGAUGUGGUGAAAAAUACGAAUUACAACUCUAUGGAAAUCAAUAUGCUAAAUGAAGAACAAAAAAAUCAUUUGGUCAUUCUUCACAAUUGGGCUGCAAUUGAUUAUUAUUACAUUAUAAAGUCUGUAAUGAUCUUAAAAAUAUGUCUUGCUUUAUUUUAAGGGACAAUAGUCACUCCAUUUCAGAUGAGUUAUAUUACCUUAUAGAUAUCAUUAAAAAGAUCCAACAGAAUUAUGGAAGUUCAGAUAUAUUGGAUUGCUUAACCGUGUGGUUAACCAAUCUUACUUGGAUUAAACAACUUGUCAUUGGUGAGUGUCUACAGAGAUUGUUGUUUUGUUUUUGAUGUUGUUGAAGCCUACCCUAAUUUUUCCUCCACCAAUAUUGAAAAACAAAACAAAACAGAAAAUAAACCCCAAACAUCAUCCAUCCAAAAGGCCACACAAACUAAAAAACAAGAAGCUAUAAGUGUGUGCUGUGGAAAUGUACUAAACAGCAAGUGUCUCUGUGAGAAAACUCCUGGAGAAUAAGAGGUGUCUUGUUUCCCACAGCUGGAACAUUCUGCAGUUUCUCCCAGACACGAUUACAAUAACUAAUGCAUGCUCAACCAGAACACCUAAUGUACUAAUGGUGCAGUGAACUACUGUAACCUAAUGGUAUAAAUAAAGACAGCUGCUUAGACAAGCAGCCAUUUUGCCUCUGCAUCUUGCUUCCUUCUCCUUUUGUUCCCUUACAGUCUCAGGACCUUCCCCAGUGUCAUAGAUGUGUGCACCAGGAUCUUCAAUGUUUUACUGGUUUCUUUGCCUUCUCAUACAGUCAAUGGAGCUUAGCAACAUUGCCACGUUCACAGUCAUGCAUAGCGCCUGCCACUGAACCUUCAUGAUGUCAAGAUUUUUCUUCAAGAGCAAAUGAACAGGAAUUUAGCAGCUGAAACAAGGAUGCACUCAAGCUGGAGAGCCUGAUGAGGACCUGACAUCCCAUCACUUGUCAUCAUUUCCUGAGCCUCUGCAUAAUCCUCACCACUCUCCAACUCUACCACCUCAUCUGGACCUUGGUGAGAGCCACAACUUCUCCCUAUGACCCUCUCCUCAAUUGAUCAUCCACUCCACACCAGGAAAAGCAUACCUUGCUUCUGGACCUGAUCACUGGGUCUGAGUGAGAGUGCAUCUGCUGGACUUAAAGCCUAAUGCUUGCAGAGGAAAUGUCUGUCAGACUAUCAUGAUUAAGUGUGUUUUUCAGAGCUUAGAAUUAAUCUAAAAUUGUUUGCUGUAAAUUAAUUAAUCUAGAAUUGUUUGCUGUGAAUUGAUUAUGUCUAUUGCGAUGCCUAUAAUUAAGGAUUGUCAUUUUCUUGAUUAAAAAACCUAUAAAAUAAAAUUGCGUGGAGUGAUUUGAGUGAAUAAGCACUGAAAGGGGCAGAAGAGAGUGGGCAUUCUUUACUCCUCCCCUCAACUCCAUACAUCCCAAUUUUGCCCCCUCGUGACAAAGGUGAAAGAGUGUGGCAGAGGGAACAAACUCACAUAGCCAACUGAAAGCAGAAGAUUACUCCAUUCACCAGAUAAAAAUAUAUAUAUAUAUCAGAAAGCCAUGCCUCAAAAGUCCCAACUCCUCCAGCCACACCUCAACAGCCUUCAGUGACCACUCAGUUAAUCCAAAUGAGGGGACUGAAUCACUGAGGAUGUUGAGGCUCUUAAGACACAAUCAUUUCUCCCCUGAACCUUCUUGCAUUGUCUCAUGUGUAAAGGUUUGGAGUACACCUUACACCAAAACUAUAACAAAGUUGUGGACCUUUCCCAGGGUCUCCUUGAAUCUCCGAGAUUUUUGAGAUCAACAAUGAAGCUCAUGUCUUCCUCAUGCUCAUUAGUGGUCUUCAGUGCCUUCCACAGAACAUCCACAGUACUAAGGAUACACUGAAAUUCAGUGUGACUCAGAGCAGUGUCUCUAGGCAUUCAGGGUCUUCACAGGUAUCUAAUUUGGGUGCAGGACUCUUCCCAGUGUAUCACAGGAAUUGAAAGAUUUUGCAGAUCUCUAAAGAGCCUCACAGCAUUUCAUGCUGAUUCAGUGGAGUGUGACACCUUGCCCAGGGCAUCAGUGUGUUUCAUGGUCUCCUCUAGUUUCACAGUCAUGCUCAGGGUGUUUUCCCAGAGACUUAAUGUUGUUGUUCUUUUCCUUGGGUAUUCAUGGGUGAUGUCAGAAAUUUCCAGCAUCUCAGUGUGGUUCAGAAUGUUCCUCUAGGUUUUUAAAGAGCCAAAAGCCCUGCUUAGGGCCUCUGGGUACCUCAUGGCUAUUACCAGGCUCUCAGUGUUUCUCAGGGUCUUUUGCAGUAUCUCAGUCAUAUUAAGUGCUAUUCCCAGGGUGUCAGCUGGAAUUAGGUAGUUCCUCAAGGGUACCAUGUUCAGAAUUUUUGCCAGGGUCUCAGAAAAUAUCAGCACCUGUGUCUAAAUGGGAUUCAGGGAUUUUCCCAGUGAAUCACUGGAAUUUAGAGCUUCUCCAGGUCAGUAUGAGACUCGUGGCCUUUCAUAAGCAUUCAAUGGACUGUGACUCUGUUCUUUUCCAGAAUCUCAAUAAGUUUUAUGGUCUCCUCUAUUCUCACAGUCAUGUUCAGGGUGGUCUCAAAGAGUCUCAGUGUUCUCCUUCCAUUCUGCCGGAAUUCAGUGAAUCUCUCAAACAUUCCCAGAACCUCAAUAUGGUUCAGGAUGUUCCCCAAAUUUUCACAGAACCAAAAGCAUUGCCCAAAUCAUCAGUGGGACUCAUGACCAUUACUGGACUCUCAGUUUUUCUCAGAAUAUUUUGCAGUGUCUCAGUCAUGUUCAGUGCUCUUUCCAGAGUCUCACCUCAGCUUAAAUACUUCCCCACUGACACUGAGUUCAGUGUCAGUAAAUCUCAGCCCCUUUUCCAGGCCCUCAGUGGAGUUCAUUUUCAUUCCCAGGGUCACAGUUGUUCCCAGGGCCUUCUUCACAAUAAAAUUGGUGUCAUUGCCUUUCCAAGCAGUCAGUGAAGCUAUAGUUUUCCUAGGUUACACUGAUGACCAGGGUUUACCCCAUUGUCUACCUGACACUCAGGGCCUUCUCCAUAAUAUCAGAGGAGCUCAGGGGCUUUUGUUUUAAUUUGUUUUGUUUGUCUCAGGAGGGCUCAAGGCCUUUCUUCAAAUUUCAGUCAUGUUUAGAAACCUCCACAUGUUCUUCAUGGUGCCCCGAUUAUUGCCAAUGCUUAGAAGAGGCUGGUGGCCUA
Molecule: non-coding RNA, 5266 nt
Organism: Ictidomys tridecemlineatus (thirteen-lined ground squirrel)
Lineage: Eukaryota; Metazoa; Chordata; Mammalia; Rodentia; Sciuridae
Source: RefSeq, a predicted model, not a curated record